RNAcentral lists this unclassified non-coding RNA (3253 nucleotides) under Leishmania donovani. Its description in RNAcentral is "gene:LdHU3.32.3380(CDS-product:hypothetical_prote in_conserved)". Lineage: Eukaryota; Euglenozoa; Kinetoplastea; Trypanosomatida; Trypanosomatidae. The record is from RNAcentral.
ACGCAGAGGCACACGUCGCCGCGGCGGCGACGUCCCCUGCAGCAAACCCCGCCCGCAGCGCACCCGGCACGGCUCGCAGAGUUCGACCCCCACUCUUGUCCAUUGCACUCCCAUCCAUCGACGUCGACGCGAUGAGCCCGCUCAUGACGGCGCCGAGGGCAGAGGCGCAUGCUUCACUCCCGUCCUCGAGAGCAAGCCCCACCCCUCUCGAUGCCGAUCGUACCUCCAGUGCAGGAGACGCAGCCCACAGGAGGUCGUCCUGGGAGAAAAUGUUGAGCGCCGACGCGCCGCAGACUGUUCCUCUCGCCACUUCGUCAGCCAUAACGGCAUCGCCACGUUUCCCGGUACUUCACCUUGCUAUCCACGCCUGCGAGGACGAAGUGGCCCCUCUUCAAACCUUGUAUUCGCGCCUCUUCCGCGAAGCAGAGGAGCGCGCGCAGCGACAGCUCCGCGUGCGGGAGCAACGAAGGGCUGCCCAGAAGCCGCGCGAGAAGGAGAGAUGCACGCCCCGCCCCCACGUGCUGUCGUCCCGUUGUGAGCCGACCGCGGGCCAGCAUUCUGCCUCUCCGGACGCACCCGCUCCUUCCGCGAAUGGGCCUGCACAAAUGUCAUCGGGAGCAGCACAGAUGCGUGGUGCGCGCUCUCCUGCGCGGGCCAGCGCCCCUAUGGACGCUACAGUUACCAACAGCAAGGAGACCGAGGCGGGCCACACAGGGGAGGAUGCGGCAUGCGAGAGGCUCUACCGAAACGCCACCAAACAGGCGGAGCGGCGGGAGCGGCGGCUGCAGGCGUUGCGAGAGGCGCAAGAGGCGGAUUUUCAAGCUAACUGCACCUUCCACCCAUCGUUAUCCCAAGUGGAAGAGGGCCAUCGCGAGCGCAAGCCCACCCGCCGAGCGCGUUCGCACAGCUCCGGGGCGGGAGGCAUGGCGCGUGCCCGCGGCGCCGAGGCGAACCUGGGCGACGGCAGAGGUGCUUUGCCUCACCGCGCGAUGAGCUCAUCGGCAGCUCAGCGGACGCCGUCGCGCUCGUCGAGGCAGUUUUCGGCCACACAGGAGGAGCUGCGAGCAGCCCACCCACGCCGUCUCGCGGAACUUUGGUGGAGAACCGAGGAGGAGACCAGGUCGAGCUUGCACACCGGCGUCCCUCGCUCCAAGGCAAGUGAGCCCCCGUGCACGUACCUGGAGAAGGCGAAGAGCUGCAGGGGCCUCAUCGGCGCGGGGUCGGAGCACUUCGCGCACUAUGUCAAAGGCAGGCAGACCCGUUCAACAUCAACGGUGGGCCCUCAGCAUUGCCGAGGUGCACUCGCCGUAUCGACGCCGCGGCUCGACAGCGCUUCGCUGCCUGACAGGCCACCUCAGUCGGAGAGCGAACCCAGCAGUGCACCGUCGGGGACCUUCGGUACACCGCAGCAACAUACUCCCGCCCGCAGCAGGGUGCGCGAGAAGACGACGAAGACGAGCGACGACGGUCGUGCUGCAGUAGCUCCGCCGCAGGUGUUCGGCCGCCUCUUCCGCGACAGCGAUGAGCGCGCGGCGGUUCGGGCAUUCAUUGAGCUGAUGAGGGAAAAGUGGAUGCACACAGAGCUGUACAAGCCAAAGGCACCUAGUAACGGCGCGUCUGCGGCGGCGCGAACUCAUCGUGAUGGGCAGCAGCGCUCCUCGGCGAGACAGCGACCACCGAGUGCGCAGUGCAACAAGGACACAACAGCAGCGAUUGCCCUUGCAGCCGGCGGUGCGGCAGCUCGUGAGAGCCCACCACGCCACGCAGACACCAAUCGGCCCUUCGCCGUUGGCUACACCGUCUUUGACGCCCUUUACGCAGAGCGGGAGGAGCUACAGUGGCGGCGCGAGAUUCGCCAUUUGCAGGUGGAGGGCGAUGCGGAGACGUGCACCUUUCACCCCUUCGUUGAUGCACGGAGCCGCGUGCUUGCAGAGGAGCGUUCCCGGCGACUUUCAGAGGGCAACGGCCUAGCAGCCGAGACGGUGCGAGAGCGGCGUACCCGAACUGCGGCGGGCGCAGAGGCGAAGGAGGCGACCUGCUGUGCACAAAUGCACUUCAGCGACCCCGCCUUUUCUCAGCCGCAGACGGAGCGGAAUCGUCGACGACAGGAGGAGCUGCUGACGGCGCUGCCGCACAAGUGCAGCGGCGUCGUCGCUGAGUGCUGCUUCCGCCCUGCUAGGUCGCAGGCGACGCGGUCGAUGACGGAGGGGAAGCGCAGCCACCUGCAGAUCAUUGAUGAUCACAAACUUGCGCAGCAGCUGAUUGGUGCUCGUAUGAGUUGCCCAGGUAAUAACUCGGUGACUGCCGCUGCCGCUGCCACGACCCCUCUGUCCCCGUCGGCCAAGCGGACGCCUCGUGCUAGAGGGAUGUGGGUCCCCACCGGCGCCACAACAUGGGAUGCGCCACCCACUUCCGUAAAGGACUUGGCGCAGUCGACCAUCGACCGUGCCGAAGGAUAUGAGGUUCUCCGCUCGGUGUCACCGCCAUCACCGCAGUGGCACGCAGGCCUCUGCGCGUGCAUCGGACUCGAGCUCGCAGUGCGGGCAGCGGGCUCGCCUGUGAAGCAGCAUCGCUCACAGUGCAGCAUACCUCACGGCGGCGCCUGUGUUUACUCAUCCCGUGAUGCCAACGGGAUGCCCGGCGCGGCUGCUGGGUCAGGCACGGCGGGCAUGCAUCGGUUUAAAGCCGCUCUCGAGGACAACGCAGGCACCGUGCACAUUGCAACCGCUGCUUCCUCGACGUACCUGCGGCAUUUGGAGUCGGAGCUACAGACUGCGCUAGAGGACUGUUCGAAGUGUGUUUGAGCGUGCGGCAAUGGAGUGAGUCAGGCGUGUUUCACGAAAAGAGCGUGUGCACGUGUGAAACUAUGGCGCUCGGUGGCGCUUGGCGACUGUCCUCAGCCAUCACUGCACUUAUGAGAGGAGCGCGGGAGAAGGGGACGGGGCUGGGAGGGGGGAGGGUGAAGUGCACGGAACCCGCACAGCGAAUAAAAUGCAAGGGGAGGCGCAGUGGCUCUGCCACACACGUGCCACGCACACACACGCGUACGUGUACGCGGGUUCUGCUCUGCCAUCCCUCAACUUGCGUCUCUUCCUCUGUUUUCGAUUCCGGCUGAUUGCAUCCCUGUUCUCUUAUCUGUCCUGCUUCCUCCUUUGCAUCGUGCGGCGCUCUGCACCAUGCUGGCGCCGUGUGUGUGUGUGUCUUGGGUGUGUAUGUUUGCGCGACACCCACAACGUAACAUAAUCGGCAUAAG